Molecule: transfer RNA, 67 nt
Filed under: Myotis lucifugus (little brown bat)
Lineage: Eukaryota; Metazoa; Chordata; Mammalia; Chiroptera; Vespertilionidae
Rfam family: tRNA
About the family: Transfer RNA (tRNA) molecules are approximately 80 nucleotides in length. Their secondary structure includes four short double-helical elements and three loops (D, anti-codon, and T loops).
Source: Rfam by way of RNAcentral
GCUUGGCUCAGUGGAUAGAGUGUUGGCCUGCAGACCAAAGAGUACUGGGUUCAAUUCCGGUCAAGCA